Molecule: small RNA, 2088 nt
Filed under: Pan troglodytes (chimpanzee)
Lineage: Eukaryota; Metazoa; Chordata; Mammalia; Primates; Hominidae
Description: processed transcript
Source: RNAcentral
GAUAAAUAGCCUGUCCUGCAGCCUGGCUUAAAACAGGGAAAGCUGGAGUUAGGCAACAGAGUGCCUAGCUUUCUCAGUCAUUCAAACACAAGCACGGAAGAAGAGAUUGCACUGACCAGAGGACCGCCAGGGUGUGACGCUCCGUAGUCGCAGGGAUGAAGGAAAGCCAUGGGCAGAGCUUGUCAUGGACAGCUCCUAGGUGGACAUAAAUAGAAACUCAUUGGUUCUGGGGCACGGCGGGAAGAGGGAGAUGGCCCUGGACGGCCGCACCAAGAAUUUCACAACCCAAACCCGACUAGAAAGCCUGGGGCUCCCAAUAUUACAAGUCUGUUCUUGACAAGGAAGUUGGGAUGACAGAACUACUGUAUGAAAACUCAGAAAUGCUCAGAAGUGCAGACCUUUGGUUCUGUUUUCUUCCUCAUCAGAUAGGAAUUUUUUUUUAACUACGCACAGAAUCACACUUGCAAAGUCUUCUUUUCCUUCUUGUUACUUUAUUUAGAAGCUGUGAACUCAAGAAGUAGGUCCCAUGUUGAAUCUACAUGUGCGCAGGUGAUUCUUUUAGCCAAGUCAUUUCCACACUCAUGCCCAAGUCUGGAGAUACACAGGUGCAGGAUUCUGACAACAUCAGGAUAUGAAAGGAUUUUAAGCUCAACGGUUAUCAGCUCAAAAGCAGAAAAUGUUCAUUCCCGUUUGUGCCCUGGUAUCUUGAAGAAUGUGCAGUAGGUUAUGGCCACACCGUGCCCUUGUCAGAUGGGGGUAAGGCCUUCUGCAUCAUCUACUCCGUCAUUGGCAUUCCCUUCACCCUCCUGUUCCUGACGGCUGUGGUCCAGCGCAUCACCGUGCACGUCACCCGCAGGCCGGUCCUCUACUUCCACAUCCGCUGGGGCUUCUCCAAGCAGGUGGUGGCCAUCGUCCACGCUGUGCUCCUUGGGUUUGUCACUGUGUCCUGCUUCUUCUUCAUCCCGGCCGCUGUCUUCUCAGUCCUGGAGGAUGACUGGAACUUCCUGGAAUCCUUUUAUUUUUGUUUUAUUUCCCUGAGCACCAUUGGCCUGGGGGAUUAUGUGCCUGGGGAAGGCUACAAUCAAAAAUUCAGAGAGCUCUAUAAGAUUGGGAUCACGUGUUACCUGCUACUUGGCCUUAUUGCCAUGUUGGUUGUUCUGGAAACCUUCUGUGAACUCCAUGAGCUGAAAAAAUUCAGAAAAAUGUUCUAUGUGAAGAAGGACAAGGACGAGGAUCAAGUGCACAUCAUAGAGCAUGACCAGCUGUCCUUCUCCUCGAUCACAGACCAGGCAGCUGGCAUGAAAGAGGACCAGAAGCAAAAUGAGCCCUUUGUGGCCACCCAGUCAUCUGCCUGCGUGGAUGGCCCUGCAAACCAUUGAGCGUAGGAUUUGUUGCAUUAUCCUAGAGCACCAGGGUCAGGGUGCAAGGAAGAGGCUUAAGUAUGUUCAUUUUUAUCAGAAUGCAAAAGCGAAAAUUAUGUCACUUUAAGAAAUAGCUACUGUUUGCAAUGUCUUAUUAAAAAACAACAAAAAAAGACAAAUGGAACAAAGAAGCUGUGACCCCAGCAGGAUGUCUAAUAUGUGAGGAAAUGAGAUGUCCACCUAAAAUUCAUAUGUGACAAAAUUAUCUAGACCUUACAUAGGAGGAGAAUACUUGAAGCAGUAUCCUGCUGUGGUUAGAAGCAGAUUUUAUACUUUUAACUGGAAACUUUGGGGUUUGCAUUUAAAUCAUUUAGCUGAUGGCUAAAUAGCAACAUUUAUAUUUAGAAGCAAAAAAAAAAAAACAUAGAGAUGUGUUUUAUAAAUAGGUUUAUGUGUACUGGUUUGCAUGUACCCACCCAAAAUGAUUAUUUUUGUAGAAUCUAAGUUAAACUUACUAUUUAUAAUGCAUAGGUAACCAUUAACUAUGUACAUAUAAAGUAUAAAUAUGUUUAUAUUCUGUACAUAUGGUUUAGGUCACCAGAUCCCAGUGCAGUUCUUAAACCAAGUCUAUAGAUAUUUUGUUUCUUUUGAUUUCUCUUUAUACUAAAGAAUCCAGAGUUGCUACAAUAAAAUAAGGGGAAUAAUAAACUUGAGAGUGAAUAACCAU